Molecule: RNA transcript, 3792 nt
Organism: Musa acuminata subsp. malaccensis (wild Malaysian banana)
Lineage: Eukaryota; Viridiplantae; Streptophyta; Magnoliopsida; Zingiberales; Musaceae
Source: RefSeq, a predicted model, not a curated record
AAUAUAAAAAAAACAAACUUAAUUUUAUUGAUUAUGAUAUAUACUUUAGUAUAUAUGUCUAACAUGACGAUAUAAUUCUUUUAGGGGACUUAAUUUCUAAUCAUUAUUCGUUGAGGAUGAAGCUGUAAAAUGAGGCGCAUUGUUGGUUCCCAAAACGUGGCUUGGAUAGCCGGAAGAGGAUCGCUAGAUCUCCUCCUCCCCCCCACGCGAUCCGAUCGCCCGCCCGGUCCGAUCCCAUCUCCCUUAGGGUUAGGCUUCCGCCUCCCCUCCGUCCUCCUCCAGCCAAGACCCGCCACCUUUCGUGGUGUUCCGGUGGCCUCCCGGCCCCUUCUCCGCUGGCGACACGCCCCCUCUGAUGCAUGCACCUGCGGCCGCGGAGGACGACGAGAAGGUCUUUGCGAAGAAGCCGCGCUACUGCGAGGCGGAGAUGCCCCUCGCCGACGCCAACAAUGAAUCCUCCUUCUUCCCCGUGGAGGAGAUCGUUCAGUACCCGCUGCCAGGCUACGUCGUCCCCUCCUCCAUCACCUUUAGCCCCGACGACCGCCUGAUCUCGUACCUGUUCAGCCCCGAUGGCACCCUCUACAGGAAAGUCUUUGCCUUUGACGUCGCCUCUCGGCGGCGGGAUCUGGUGUUUAGCCCGCCCGACGGAGGGGGUCUUGACGAGUGCAAUCUCUCCGAGGAGGAGAAGCUGAGGAGAGAGAGGUCUAGAGAGCGGGGAUUAGGUGUCACGCGCUAUGAGUGGAAGGCGAGGUCCCUUUCGGGGAAGCACACCAUCAUGGUGCCGUUGCCCACUGGGAUCUAUUUACAGGAAAUAUGUGAUACGGAGCCAGAGCUCAAGCUGCCGUGUCGUUCUAGUUCGCCAAUAAUUGACCCACAUCUGUCUCCGGAUGGAAGCAUGCUUGCGUAUGUUAGAGAGGAUGAGCUUCAUGUUUUAAGUUUAUCAGAGGGGCACCCUAAGCAGUUGACUUUUGGUGCAAAGGAAAAUGGAAUGACUCAUGGUCUUGCUGAAUACAUAGCACAGGAAGAGAUGGAAAGGAAAAAUGGAUUCUGGUGGUCUCCCGAUAGCAAAUAUAUUGCAUUUGCUGAAGUUGAUUCAUCAGAGAUACCUCUUUUUAGAAUUAUGCAUGAAGGAAAAAAGUCAGUUGGUUCAGAUGCACAGGAAGACCAUGCAUACCCAUUUGCUGGAGCAUCUAAUGUAAAAGUUCGACUUGGAGUUGUUGCUGCCUCCGGAGGAGAAGUUACUUGGAUGGAUCUUAUUUGCGGAGUGCAGGAUGAAGCUGGAGGUGCUGAAGAGUAUCUAGCCAGAGUGAAUUGGAUGCCUGACAAUUCUCUUGUAGCUCAGGUUCUCAACAGAUCCCAGACCAAAUUAGAAAUUCUUAAGUUUGAUAUUCAGACUGGAAAGAAAGUAAUUUUGUUUGUGGAAGAACAGGGUACAUGGAUAAAUUUGCAUGAUUGCUUGACACCUCUGGACAAAGGAGUGAACAAUUUGUCUGGUGGUUUCAUUUGGGCUAGUGAAAAAACCGGCUUUAGACAUUUGUACCUUCAUGAUAAGAAUGGAGUUUGUUUAGGACCUAUCACCCAGGGUAAUUGGAUGGUUGAACAAAUUUCUGGUGUAAAUGAAAAUGCAGGUCUUCUCUUCUUCACUGGCACCAUGGAUGGGCCACUAGAAUCCAACUUGUACUGCACAAGCCUAUUUCCAGAUUGGAAUCAUCCCUUGCAACUGCCAAGGAGGUUGACUCAUGGCAGUGGGAGACAUGCAGUGAUUCUCGAUCAUCAGAUGCAGAGGUUUGUCGAUGUCUAUGAUUCUCUGAACUCUCCACCUAGAGUAAUACUUUGUUCAUUACAUGAUGGAAGUAUAAUAGCACCUUUAUAUGAGCAGCCUUUAAGCAUUCCACAUUUUAGAAAGCUGCAACUUUUGUCACCAGAGAUCGUGCAAAUAUCUGCAAAAGAUGGUACUGUACUAUAUGGGACUUUAUACAAGCCUGAUGCAAGCAAAUUUGGGCCGCCACCAUAUAAAACGUUAAUCAAUGUUUAUGGUGGUCCAAGCGUCCAGCUUGUAGUUGAUUCAUGGAUAAAUACUGUUGACAUGAGAGCUCAAUACCUACGAAAUAAGGGCAUCUUAGUGUGGAAGCUAGAUAACAGAGGGACCGCAAGACGAGGUUUGAAAUUCGAAGGCCAUCUGAAGCACAACUUUGGUCAUAUAGAUGCAGAAGAUCAACUUACUGGUGCAGAGUGGCUUGUAAGGCAAGGCCUUGCCAAAGUGGGUCAUAUUGGCCUCUAUGGUUGGAGCUACGGGGGUUUCCUGUCGGCGAUGAGCCUGGCAAGGUUUCCUGAGACUUUCUGCUGUGCAGUAUCAGGCGCCCCCGUGACUUCAUGGGAUGGGUACGACACGUUCUACACCGAGAAAUACAUGGGUUUGCCAAAAGAAAAUCCAGAUGCCUAUGAAUAUGGGUCGAUCAUGCAUCAUGUGCCCAAAAUCAAAGGGAAGCUGCUGCUUAUCCAUGGAAUGAUCGAUGAGAAUGUGCACUUCAGGCACACCGCGAGGCUCAUAAACUCGCUCAUUGCAGCUGGCAAGCCAUAUGAGCUUCUGCUUUUUCCAGAUGAAAGGCACAUGCCUCGUCAGCUUAGAGAUCGUAUUUAUAUGGAGGUGAGAAUUUGGGAAUUUAUAGAGAGAAGCUUAUGAAGGGAGCCACGAUCUCCCUAUUCGGCUAGUGUGAGUUUAUACUUGAGAACAGUCAGGCACCUAUUGUGAAUGUGGCCCAACUAUACCAGUUCAAUAAAGAAGAAUUUAUCGACUGAGUGGACGUUUUUACUUUUUAGUGUCUCCUUGUGAAUAAGAGUUUCUUGGAGGAUUGAGUUUUUUUUUUCCUGUUGGUUUUCAUUCUCAGUCUUCCAGUUGAAGUUGGUUUUCCAGCAGAUGUAUCUGUCUGAUUUAUGUUAAAGGUUUACCUUCUUUAAUUGAAGCAACGAGGCAUUCUGGUUCAUCAAAUCAUUUUGUAGUAUUGAUAUUCUCUCGGACUAGAAGAAACUUUGCAUACCGAGGCAUAUGUUAUAUAUGGACAGAAAUGAAUCUGUAUCAGAGACUACUAGAUGGUGUGCAUCAUUAGAAUGACAGCUGGUGGGUAAUCUCUCUCUGCCAUGACACAAGUCAUUGGUGAAAGUGUGAAAUGAAUGGGUCGAUUGCCGGCUCAAUCUAUAAGCUGCUAUAUAAUUAUUUGGAAGUUCUGCCCGGGUUUGCAAGUAAUUGCUGGUUGUUCAAAGUAUGCUGCUGACUGUUUGUUGUAUCGAAACCAUAUAAUUUGAUGACAUUUAAUACCAAUAAAUAUCAGCGCUAUAUACAGGAUUGCGUCCCUUUCCAUCGUCAUAAGAUAUGAGUGCGGCUUUCGAAAGGGAAAAGGCCGUUUGAACUCGCCCUCCGACAGCCGUUCUCUUUGAAGGUGAAGGAUAUUUUGGUGAGACCGCCUUUGAUCGUUGUGAAGAUGAUCUGUGCGAAUCAUCAAGCACUCUCGUGCCAGUGACCCAAAGGCAGUCGAUGGUCACAAUCGACGCGGCGGCACGCUCGUCGGGUGGAGCAACGUCUCCAAACAGACGCGUGCCUCUGGGGCCCACGUGCACAUGGUUUCGCUUUGUCCGACACGUCAUUUUCCGUUAACGUUAGUGGCGCCCAGAAGGGGACACGUCGAAGCCCGCGCCCCUAUCCAUCCCCGCUGCGACACCUCAGCCUCGUGUCAUCAUCCAUCGCCAAACAAGCUUCGUGCCGGACACAUGAAGUUACAGAAUUACCCCGCCGAU